This 253-nucleotide ribosomal RNA is filed under the name uncultured bacterium. RNAcentral's name for it is "partial 16S ribosomal RNA". It matches the Rfam family "Bacterial small subunit ribosomal RNA", at positions 524 to 776 of the family's 1533-position model. The record is from RNAcentral.
UACGUAGGGCGCAAGCGUUAUCCGGAAUUAUUGGGCGUAAAGAGCUCGUAGGCGGUUUGUCGCGUCUGCCGUGAAAGUCCGGGGCUCAACUCCGGAUCUGCGGUGGGUACGGGCAGACUAGAGUGAUGUAGGGGAGACUGGAAUUCCUGGUGUAGCGGUGAAAUGCGCAGAUAUCAGGAGGAACACCGAUGGCGAAGGCAGGUCUCUGGAACGGUACUGACGCUGAGGCGCGAAAGCGUGGGGAGCGAACAGG